GCAUCUAGAUUAGAGUUUGAUCCUGGCUCAGAUUGAACGCUGGCGGCAGGCCUAACACAUGCAAGUCGAACGGUAACAGGAAACAGCUUGCUGUUUCGCUGACGAGUGGCGGACGGGUGAGUAAUGUCUGGGAAACUGCCUGAUGGAGGGGGAUAACUACUGGAAACGGUAGCUAAUACCGCAUAACGUCGCAAGACCAAAGAGGGGGACCUUCGGGCCUCUUGCCAUCAGAUGUGCCCAGAUGGGAUUAGCUAGUAGGUGGGGUAACGGCUCACCUAGGCGACGAUCCCUAGCUGGUCUGAGAGGAUGACCAGCCACACUGGAACUGAGACACGGUCCAGACUCCUACGGGAGGCCGCAGUGGGGAAUAUUGCACAAUGGGCGCAAGCCUGAUGCAGCCAUGCCGCGUGUAUGAAGAAGGCCUUCGGGUUGUAAAGUACUUUCAGCGGGGAGGAAGGGAGUAAAGUUAAUACCUUUGCUCAUUGACGUUACCCGCAGAAGAAGCACCGGCUAACUCCGUGCCAGCAGCCGCGGUAAUACGGAGGGUGCAAGCGUUAAUCGGAAUUACUGGGCGUAAAGCGCACGCAGGCGGUUUGUUAAGUCAGAUGUGAAAUCCCCGGGCUCAACCUGGGAACUGCAUCUGAUACUGGCAAGCUUGAGUCUCGUAGAGGGGGGUAGAAUUCCAGGUGUAGCGGUGAAAUGCGUAGAGAUCUGGAGGAAUACCGGUGGCGAAGGCGGCCCCCUGGACGAAGACUGACGCUCAGGUGCGAAAGCGUGGGGAGCAAACAGGAUUAGAUACCCUGGUAGUCCACGCCGUAAACGAUGUCGACUUGGAGGUUGUGCCCUUGAGGCGUGGCUUCCGGAGCUAACGCGUUAAGUCGACCGCCUGGGGAGUACGGCCGCAAGGUUAAAGCUCAAAUGAAUUGACGGGGGCCCGCACAAGCGGUGGAGCAUGUGGUUUAAUUCGAUGCAACGCGAAGAACCUUACCUGGUCUUGACAUCCACGGAAGUUUUCAGAGAUGAGAAUGUGCCUUCGGGAACCGUGAGACAGGUGCUGCAUGGCUGUCGUCAGCUCGUGUUGUGAAAUGUUGGGUUAAGUCCCGCAACGAGCGCAACCCUUAUCCUUUGUUGCCAGCGGUCCGGCCGGGAACUCAAAGGAGACUGCCAGUGAUAAACUGGAGGAAGGUGGGGAUGACGUCAAGUCAUCAUGGCCCUUACGACCAGGGCUACACACGUGCUACAAUGGCGCAUACAAAGAGAAGCGACCUCGCGAGAGCAAGCGGACCUCAUAAAGUGCGUCGUAGUCCGGAUUGGAGUCUGCAACUCGACUCCAUGAAGUCGGAAUCGCUAGUAAUCGUGGAUCAGAAUGCCACGGUGAAUACGUUCCCGGGCCUUGUACACACCGCCCGUCACACCAUGGGAGUGGGUUGCAAAAGAAGUAGGUAGCUUAACCUUCGGGAGGGCGCUUACCACUUUGUGAUUCAUGACUGGGGUGAAGUCGUAACAAGGUAACCGUAGGGGAACCUGCGGAUGGAUCACCUCCUUA
Molecule: ribosomal RNA, 1546 nt
Filed under: uncultured Shigella sp.
Lineage: Bacteria; Pseudomonadati; Pseudomonadota; Gammaproteobacteria; Enterobacterales; Enterobacteriaceae
Description: bacterial SSU rRNA
Rfam family: Bacterial small subunit ribosomal RNA
Source: RNAcentral